Non-coding RNA from Pelobates cultripes (western spadefoot toad), 204 nucleotides. The record is from the annotation of a GenBank genome assembly. NCBI's taxonomy places the organism in Eukaryota, Metazoa, Chordata, Amphibia, Anura, Pelobatidae.
ACUUCCUUCACUUGUGUCUCGCCCUUUUUAAGUGGUAGUGCCAGGAAUUGCUGAUGGAAUCUGCCUCCCCCCCGCGCUCAAUGAGGGUCUUCCAGGUCACGUGACGAUGUAACCACGUCUUGAUGUCUCGACGUCACUCCCUGUGUUGUUGGCAAAUCCUUCCGAGUCAUGUUACAGUGUUAUUAAGUCCCGGCGUCACUUUUU